RNAcentral lists this ribosomal RNA (579 nucleotides) under uncultured bacterium. RNAcentral's name for it is "partial 16S ribosomal RNA". It matches the Rfam family "Bacterial small subunit ribosomal RNA", at positions 355 to 932 of the family's 1533-position model. The record is from RNAcentral.
UGGGGAAUUUUGGACAAUGGGCGAAAGCCUGAUCCAGCAAUGCCGCGUGUGUGAAGAAGGCCUUCGGGUUGUAAAGCACUUUUGUCCGGAAAGAAAUCCUUGGCUCUAAUACAGUCGGGGGAUGACGGUACCGGAAGAAUAAGCACCGGCUAACUACGUGCCAGCAGCCGCGGUAAUACGUAGGGUGCAAGCGUUAAUCGGAAUUACUGGGCGUAAAGCGUGCGCAGGCGGUUUGCUAAGACCGAUGUGAAAUCCCCGGGCUCAACCUGGGAACUGCAUUGGUGACUGGCAGGCUAGAGUAUGGCAGAGGGGGGUAGAAUUCCACGUGUAGCAGUGAAAUGCGUAGAGAUGUGGAGGAAUACCGAUGGCGAAGGCAGCCCCCUGGGCCAAUACUGACGCUCAUGCACGAAAGCGUGGGGAGCAAACAGGAUUAGAUACCCUGGUAGUCCACGCCCUAAAACGAUGUCAACUAGUUGUUGGGGAUUCAUUCCUUAGUAACGUAGCUAACGCGUGAAGUUGACCGCCUGGGGAGUACGGUCGCAAGAUUAAAACUCAAAUGAAUUGACGGGGUCAUAGCUG